Vicia villosa (hairy vetch) is the source of this 1139-nucleotide long non-coding RNA. RefSeq lists it as uncharacterized. NCBI's taxonomy places the organism in Eukaryota, Viridiplantae, Streptophyta, Magnoliopsida, Fabales, Fabaceae. The transcript has 3 exons. The record is from RefSeq and is a predicted model, not a curated record.
CCUCUUCUGAUUUUCACUCUCUUUUCUCUCCGACGGCGACGGCAGCGGCGAUAAAUUUCACUAGCCGAUCAAAGCUCAAAAACGCCACCGUCCGCGCCUUCAUUUCUCCAAAUCAAGAUCCUAAAUCAACUUGGCUCUCAAUCUCUACGGUUCAACACUCUAUCGAGAUUCAACAGAGGAAUUGGAGUUUAACGGAGCUCCGUUGUGCAAUUCGACUCAGGGCAAAGCAAGAUUAGGCAAAUACGCAGUGAGACGCGAAAGUUACCUGAAGUACGGAUUGGUGUUAUUUGAAGAAUUCCGGAGAUGCUUCUGAAUCGAUUUGUAUGGUGCAAAAUUGAACACGAUAGGUGGAGAAGAUGAUGUUUCUUCAGGCGAUGAUGAUAUCCUUGUUGACGUGUUGAUAGUGUCGAAGCCUGAAUGAAUAUUGAAGAUUGUUGCCAAACUGAAGAUGAAGAUGGUGAUUCGAUUAUCAGUGAAGCAGAGAUUACAGAUCGUGAAGGAUGAAGGAGAUGCAAGGUGAAUUGAAGAUGAUGUGAAGGUGAAUUGAAGAUGUGUUUCAAUGGAGUUCUGAAGGUUGUGAAGCAGAGUGAUGAAGGGAGGUUCUGAGAUGAUGAUUGUGAAGAAGGCGAGAAAAAUGGUUGAGAGAUGAAUGAAUCGAAAAAUGGAGGAGAGGCUGAAGUGGUGGAAGAAGUUCUCUUUUAUAGCAGUGAAGGGCUGGUAGUGAAUAUAUGGAGGUCCAGAACAUAUGUGCUGCAAGUAUCAAAGAGGCCUGCCUUGGCAUAUUUGGAGGCUUUGUAAUAGGAAGCAUAGUGUAAUAUGUGGGGGCAACAUCAUGAAGAGGGCCAUGGAUGGAAUUACUUGGUGAAGAAGAAAGAAACGGGGCUUAAGGAUGUAGGUCUAGGAGAUAUUUGCUGCAAGUUCAAAGAAAUAGAUACAAGGCUUUUGUUGUUAAAGUAAUUUCACUUUGUAGUUGAAUACUCCUUGAAUAUGUUGACUUGUGAUUCAUAGAUGGACCUUCAAAUAAAUGCAUAAUUAGGUACUCGAGAAUAGGCAUUUGGUCCUCGGAUUCUGUGUAAUGUUGCUUGUAUAAUCUUCAUGAAUAUUUUGAGCUUGAAAUAUAAUGUGGGCUUUUCUCUUCA